RNAcentral lists this long non-coding RNA (686 nucleotides) under Bos taurus (domestic cattle). RNAcentral's name for it is "long non-coding RNA NONBTAT015266". The record is from RNAcentral. Lineage: Eukaryota; Metazoa; Chordata; Mammalia; Artiodactyla; Bovidae.
CAAAGAGAUUGUAAAUGUCAAGAGGGCAAGAAUAGUUCUUUAUUUUCCACUUUAUUUCCUAUAUUGUUAAGGACAAGUGUCUUUAAUAACUACCUAAUAAUGAGUGAAUGAGGCAGUGAUAAUGACCCGUAAAGCAAUGGAAAUGAUAGUUGAAACCAUCAAAUCACUUUCUAAUGUUGACAGAAUCUGAAGUGACAGGUUGGUGGAAAAAAAGACUUCUGAGUUCAAAUCUCAUUUCCAUAAUACUCCAUGAAAUUAUCACUUAAAAGAAAACAUAGUCUGUAAUUACAUGAAUCAUUUUGAAAGUGAUUAAAAACUUCCUGUUCUGGCAGCUUUUAAAUUUCCCCGUCUGGUCUCUCUAGGGCAGAAACCCAUUUUCUGAAACUCCUCUGCACAGUGCCUGACAUGAAGAAAUCAGGUCCCCUAUGAUUAGCAUCAGUCUAGGAAUUCAGGCAGAUCUAUCGCCCUUUUCAAAACACCCUGCAACCAUGCUUCACUUUGCUAAUGAUGUAUGUAAUUAGAGACUAGAGAUGGAGCCAUUAAGGAUCAAGCUUUCUAAAAUCUCUGAGCCCCCAGAUGCUAAGUUAUUAACUUUUUUGGCCAGUAGCCCUGCAGCAUCUAAUAAAGAAAAAUUGAGCCUAAGAAGUGUAAUAUUGGGUGAAAUGCCUACAUUUUAGAAGCAACGG